This 212-nucleotide ribosomal RNA is filed under the name uncultured bacterium. Its description in RNAcentral is "partial 16S ribosomal RNA". It matches the Rfam family "Bacterial small subunit ribosomal RNA", at positions 123 to 334 of the family's 1533-position model. The record is from RNAcentral.
AACCUGCCUUGGAGAGGGGAAUAACACAGAGAAAUUUGUGCUAAUACCGCAUGAUGCAGUUGGGUCGCAUGGCUCUGACUGCCAAAGAUUUAUCGCUCUGAGAUGGCCUCGCGUCUGAUUAGCUAGUUGGUAGGGUAACGGCCUACCAAGGCGACGAUCAGUAGCCGGACUGAGAGGUUGACCGGCCACAUUGGGACUGAGACACGGCCCAG